RNAcentral lists this ribosomal RNA (324 nucleotides) under uncultured Pseudomonas sp. RNAcentral's name for it is "bacterial SSU rRNA". It matches the Rfam family "Bacterial small subunit ribosomal RNA", at positions 15 to 339 of the family's 1533-position model. The record is from RNAcentral. Lineage: Bacteria; Pseudomonadati; Pseudomonadota; Gammaproteobacteria; Pseudomonadales; Pseudomonadaceae.
GAUCAUGGCUCAGAUUGAACGCUGGCGGCAGGCCUAACACAUGCAAGUCGAGCGGCAGCACAGGUGCUUGCACCGGGUGGCGAGCGGCGGACGGGUGAGUAAUGCCUAGGAAUCUGCCUGGUAGUGGGGGAUAACGCUCGGAAACGGACGCUAAUACCGCAUACGUCCUACGGGAGAAAGCAGGGGACCUUCGGGCCUUGCGCUAUCAGAUGAGCCUAGGUCGGAUUAGCUAGUUGGUGAGGUAAUGGCUCACCAAGGCGACGAUCCGUAACUGGUCUGAGAGGAUGAUCAGUCACACUGGAACUGAGACACGGUCCAGACUCC